GCAGCCGCGGUAAUACGUAGGUGGCGAGCGUUGUCCGGAAUUAUUGGGCGUAAAGAGCAUGUAGGCGGUCUUUUAAGUCUGGAGUGAAAAUGCGGGGCUCAACCCCGUAUGGCUUUGGAUACUGGGAGACUUGAGUGCAGGAGAGGAAAGGGGAAUUCCCAGUGUAGCGGUGAAAUGCGUAGAUAUUGGGAGGAACACCAGUGGCGAAGGCGCCUUUCUGGACUGUGUCUGACGCUGAGAUGCGAAAGCCAGGGUAGCGAACGGGAUUAGAUACCCC
RNAcentral lists this ribosomal RNA (277 nucleotides) under uncultured Phascolarctobacterium sp. Its description in RNAcentral is "partial 16S ribosomal RNA". It matches the Rfam family "Bacterial small subunit ribosomal RNA", at positions 511 to 788 of the family's 1533-position model. The record is from RNAcentral. Lineage: Bacteria; Bacillati; Bacillota; Negativicutes; Acidaminococcales; Acidaminococcaceae.